UACGGAGGGAGCUAGCGUUGUUCGGAAUUACUGGGCGUAAAGCGCACGUAGGCGGACAUUUAAGUCAGGGGUGAAAUCCCAGAGCUCAACUCUGGAACUGCCUUUGAUACUGGGUGUCUUGAGUAUGGAAGAGGUGAGUGGAAUUCCGAGUGUAGAGGUGAAAUUCGUAGAGAUCGGCAGGAACACCCAGGGGGAAACCAGUGGACUGGGCAUGAGCUGACGCUCAGGUGCGAAAGCGUGGGGAGCGAACCGG
Molecule: ribosomal RNA, 253 nt
Filed under: uncultured bacterium
Lineage: Bacteria
Description: partial 16S ribosomal RNA
Rfam family: Bacterial small subunit ribosomal RNA
Source: RNAcentral